GAUGAACGCUGGCGGCGUGCCUAAUACAUGCAAGUCGAACGAAACUUCUUUAUCACCGAGUGCUUGCACUCACCGAUAAAGAGUUGAGUGGCGAACGGGUGAGUAACACGUGGGCAACCUGCCCAAAAGAGGGGGAUAACACUUGGAAACAGGUGCUAAUACCGCAUAACCAUAGUUACCGCAUGGUAACUAUGUAAAAGGUGGCUAUACUACCGCUUUUGGAUGGGCCCGCGGCGCAUUAGCUAGUUGGUAGGGUAAAGGCUUACCAAGGCAAUGAUGCGUAGCCGAAUUGAGAGGUUGAUCGGCCACAUUGGGACUUAGACACGGCCCAAACUCCUACGGGAGGCAGCAGUAGGGAAUCUUCCACAAUGGGCGAAAGCCUGAUGGAGCAACGCCGCGUGGGUGAAGAAGGUCUUCGGAUCGUAAAACCCUGUUGUUAGAGAAGAAAGUGCGUGAGAGUAACUGUUCACGUUUCGACGGUAUCUAACCAGAAAGCCACGGCUAACUACGUG
This 512-nucleotide ribosomal RNA is filed under the name uncultured bacterium. Its description in RNAcentral is "partial 16S ribosomal RNA". It matches the Rfam family "Bacterial small subunit ribosomal RNA", at positions 28 to 507 of the family's 1533-position model. The record is from RNAcentral.